RNAcentral lists this ribosomal RNA (253 nucleotides) under uncultured bacterium. Its description in RNAcentral is "partial 16S ribosomal RNA". It matches the Rfam family "Bacterial small subunit ribosomal RNA", at positions 524 to 776 of the family's 1533-position model. The record is from RNAcentral.
GACAGAGGUCUCAAGCGUUGUUCGGAUUCAUUGGGCGUAAAGGGUGCGUAGGUGGCGUCGUAAGUCGGGUGUGAAAUUUCGGAGCUUAACUCCGAAACUGCAUUCGAUACUGCGGUGCUUGAGGACUGGAGAGGAGACUGGAAUUUACGGUGUAGCAGUGAAAUGCGUAGAGAUCGUAAGGAAGACCAGUGGCGAAGGCGGGUCUCUGGACAGUUCCUGACACUGAGGCACGAAGGCCAGGGGAGCAAACGGG